UUUAGACCAUUCUAAGUGCUGGGCAACCUCAACUCCUGUCUAGUUCCGAAAUAUUUCCAACGGCCCUAAAGGAAACCCCAUCCCCAACGGACGGUCCCCACCCAACUUCUUUGGACCCGCUUCUUCUGGACAAUUCAUGUAACUGGAAUCACGCCCCAAGUAUCUGGCUUCUCUCCCUGAGCAUCACGUUUCCACGAUGUAUCUACAUUGUAUCGUGUGUGACUGCUUUGUGCACUUUGUGGCUGAAUAAUUUUCUGGCUUAGGGAUGGACCACAUUUUGUCUCUCCACUCAUCUGCUGAUGGACAUUUGGGUUGUUUCCACCUUUGGCCUGUGAGGACUAGUGCUGCAAUGAUAAGCAUUUGUUUGAAUCUGUUUCCAAUGUUUUUUUUUUUUUUUUUUUUUUUUAAGUGGCCUCACGCCCAGCAUGGAGCCCAACGCAGGGCUUGAACUCAAGACCCUGAGAUCAAGAUCUGAGCUGAGAUCAAGAGUCAGAUGCUUAACCAACUGAGCCACCCAGGCGCCCCUCAAUUCUCUCGGGACCCAUUAAGGUACUGGAUGGGACGUAAUCAACUCUCCCCCGGGGUGGCCCCCAGCCACCCUUGGGACCAACGGGAAAGGCAAGUCCUGGAGACCAUGCAGCGUCUGAGCUCUGCCCUCGCCAUCCUGACUGCUGCCGAUGCACUGCGCGACCACAAGUCGGCUUCUGUUUGCAUCUCAACAUGCAAAUGUCGUGGAAAUGACAGAGGGACACGUCACAAUCGCCACACUGUCUCUGAGUACCAGGCUAUGGGAGGAGCAUAAGGUAAUGGCUUGAAAUGCGGACGCUGGCUGCACACUGCCCGCGUUCAAAUCCUGGCUCUGUCCCCCACUAGCUGUGCGGGCCCCAGGAGCCUGCUCAUCUCUGACCUCGGCCUCUUGUCCUACAAAACGGAGUGUGACAGUCGUAACCAGUUCAUGCGAGGUGCCAGACCAGGUGAGCUAUGUGAGGCUAUUUGAAUUUUAUCCUGCAGGCAAUGGGAGUCUUUGAAGGAUUGAAGACAAAAGUGGGACUUGAUCAGAUUUGCGCUUUAGAAGACCCCUAAUGGUGCAAGGGCGAGCUCCCCCGUUACCAGGGAAGCUGCCCGGUUUCCUGGUGCUGAAAUUAAGUCGGCCCCGGAAAGCCUCUGGGAGCUGUCCGGAGUCCUGGUGCUGAAGCAGAUCGCGGUUCCCUUCCUGGUCCCCGAGAGGCGCUGUCCGGAGUCUCGGUGCUGAAACAAAUAGCAAUUUCCUUCCGCGGUGGUCGAUGCAGGUGACCAGUGGCUGCCAAGGCGAGGACGUGCACUUUUAUGGGCUUUGGAGAAGGCGGGGCACCGGGAACCCGAGGAGGGGCUUCACCGGCCGGCCAAUGGGACUCCGUCUAGAAUGCAGCUCCAAAGAUUACCUCAUAGGCUGUGGUCUCGGUUUCAGAAUAAAAGUCUGGCAUCUGCCCAAAAACUGGGUUGGGGUUUUCUGGAGUUGGGAGGGGGCACUCACUAUGGUCCUCAAGGUCUCCCCACUACUCAGCCCAACCCCCUCCUAGGUCUCUCACAUCCAGUUUGGCCCAAAAGCCCUGGAUGAUACCUACAUCUCCCCAUCUCCAGCUUGUGCUAUUGCUGGAUCAGAAGAGAGAAAACUGGUAAACUGAGUUGGGGAAAAAACAGGGCAAGCUCAGAAUAUUUAAGUUCAGUUCCAGAUAGGGAAACUGAGGGAGGGCUCAGAAGAGCCUGGGGCAGAAGUGGGUCUCAAGACUAGAUCUUUUGAUUCCUCAGUUCAAAACCCAUCUCAUAACUUCGUUUAUUGUUUUACUUUACUGAGCAGGCUCUGAGUCAAAAACACAAAUCCAGACUUUUCUCCUUCUGGCUAGGACUUUGGGCACAGUCGAACCUCUCUGUGCUUCAGUUUCCUUACCGGUGAAAUGGGGAUAAUGGUAGUACCUUCUCAGAGCAUUGUGAUGAGGAAUUAGUGGUAUGGUGUGGAUGCAUGUUAGAAAUAACGCAUGUGAGCCAGGACUAGGAUAAGCAAGACACCUGCCUCAGGUGCAAAUUUAAGAAGGCACCAAAAAAAAAAAAAAAAAACCAAAAAACCCAACCCCUCCCACACCUCAGCAAUCAAGGUAAAUAAUGUUUCAAUGCAAUGUUCUAAGAAAUCAAAAUUAAUGUGUGUAAAAAGUCAACAAUGAAUAAUUUAUCAAUUUUUUAAAAUUUUUAAACAUUUAUUUAUUAUUGAGAGACAGAGAGACACAGAGAGUGAGCAGGGGAGGGGUAGACAGAGGGGGAGACAUAGAAUCGGAAGCAGGCUCCAGGCUCUCAGCUGUCAGCACGGAGCCCGACGCGGGGCUCAAGCCCACCAACUGCGAGAUCAUGACCUGAGCCGAAGGCGGUCGCUUAACCAACUGAGCCCCCCCAGGCGCCCCUAUCAAAUUUUUAAAUAAAGAUAGGAUCCACAUUACUGGAUUUUUCCUUUUGCCUCAGGGUCUAAUGCGUGGCAUGGCACCAGAAAUAAUGUAUAGACAUGGUAAGCUUUCCGAUAAUGUAGCUUAAUCACCCAACUUUUUUGUAGUCGGCAUGGGGUAGGGGUGCAUACAUGAAUUCAGCAACCAAACUUGUCCUUAGGGAGAGUGACAACCUGAAAGUAUAAGCAUACUCAGAUGCAGUCUGGUGACAAUAGAGGGAUCUGUGUCCCAGCUUGUGCUCUCCCCAGUAUGAAAGUCCCCUAAAGGGGCUGCUCAUUUUGUGGAAUCUGAACUCACAAAUGAGCUGUCUGCACAUCACCUACGGAGCCAGGAGCAUCAGAUGAGGCACCUAGCAUUUGUCAACAAAGAUGCCCAAAUCCAGAGUUAAUUCCACUGAUGCACCGGGGGAAAAGUUCAGUCAAACCCAUGGGAAGCAGGUGCAGAAACUAUAAUUCUGACACAUAGUAGAUACUCAACAAGUCCAUUGUGAAGUGUGGACUCCACUGAGUGCAUCUGAAACACUCGAAACUGCUACAUCUGUUUCCUUCUCAGAGGUCAGUUCUGGCCUCACAGUUCCUAAGGAGCACCAGGGAGCAUGCCGCAGAAGGGACAAGAAUAGAUGGGAAGGCAGCCUGGAGAUGGCUGCCUUAUUUGUUUCUUCCUUUUUUCUUUUAUUUUGGAAAAAAAAUUUUUUUCCAACCCACAGGAAAGUUGCAAGAAUCGUGCAAUGAACUUCCAUGUUAUCUUAAAAAAGAUUUUUUUUAAGUUUAUUUAUUUUGGAGAAAGACACAGAAACUGAGGUAGGUUCCAGGCUCUGAACCAUCUGGACAGAGCCCGACACAGGGCUCGAACCCGCACACCUAGAGAUCAUGACCUGAGCUGGUCGGACACUUAACCAACUGAGCCCCCUAGGCGCCCCUCCAUAUCAUCUUAAACUAGAUUCACCCAGGCAUUGGUAACAUGUUGCCACAUUUGCUUUAUCUUUGUUUAUUUCUCUACAUCUAUCUUUGUAUCUGUCCCAACCCUGUAGGUUUCAAACACAACUGCGCCUUCAUUCCCAAAUACUUCAGCAUGCACCCCCCCAAGAUCAAAGACAGUCUCCUACGUAACCCGAAUGUAAUGAUCACAACCGAGAAGUUAAAACUGUUACAACGCUACUGUCUAACCCCCGACCCACGUUCCUGCCUCACCCAUCUCCUGAGACUGCGUUUUAGGGCAUUUCUUCCCAAGCUGGGAUCCAAGUCAGGAUUGGGCACAGCAUUUCGUCGUCCUGUGUGUCCCAUCUCUACCGCAGAGAGGUGGGUCACAAGAUGAUUCUUAGACCCUAGGAUUCGCCUCUCAGUCCUGGGAUCAGGCUUCCUCACUGUCCUCCCUGUGGGUGUCCACUCUACACCGUGUCUGGCCCCCCUUAUUUACAACGAGAGUUUGUUUAGAGGACUUCUUAAGUCUCUUUCUCCUCCAACAUUCUGGAAAGACAUAGCCAGAUGUACGCACCCCCAAGCCUACUUUAUGAAUUCAUUCGUGCUGCAAAAAAAAAUUUUUUUUUAAAUGCCUGCUAUGUGCUAUGUGGGAAUCCAGCAGGGAACCAAGCUGAUGUGAUUUCUGUCUUCCAUUUAGUGCAGAAGACAGAUGAUAAGCAAGCAAACAAAUAAAGGAACAAGGUGACCUCACACAGCAAUGACGGCUAGGAAGAUAAUAGAUCAGGAAGGU
Long non-coding RNA from Acinonyx jubatus (cheetah), 4181 nucleotides. RefSeq lists it as uncharacterized. The transcript has 5 exons. Lineage: Eukaryota; Metazoa; Chordata; Mammalia; Carnivora; Felidae. The record is from RefSeq and is a predicted model, not a curated record.